Molecule: non-coding RNA, 121 nt
Filed under: Chattonella subsalsa
Lineage: Eukaryota; Raphidophyceae; Chattonellales; Chattonellaceae
Source: RNAcentral
UAUAGACAUGAAAAAGAAAGGUAUGAAUCUAAACUCAACUGUUGCAUGAGUCAUAAGAGUUUUUUUUUUGUUUUUUUUUUUGUUUUUUUUUUUUUUGUACUGAAUAAUUACUGUGAUUUGU